Molecule: ribosomal RNA, 253 nt
Filed under: uncultured bacterium
Lineage: Bacteria
Description: partial 16S ribosomal RNA
Rfam family: Bacterial small subunit ribosomal RNA
Source: RNAcentral
UACGUAGGUGGCAAGCGUUACUCGGAAUCACUAGGCGUAAAGCGCAGGUAGGCGGCUCGAUAAGUCUCUUGUGAAAGCUCCCGGCUCAACUGGGAGAGGUCAAGGGAAACUGUUGGGCUAGAGUGUGGUAGAGGAAACUGGAAUUCCCGGUGUAGCGGUGAAAUGCGUAGAUAUCGGGAGGAAUACCUAUGGCGAAAGCAGGUUUCUGGGCCAUCACUGACGCUGAGCUGCGAAAGCUAGGGGAGCAAACAGG